Molecule: non-coding RNA, 153 nt
Filed under: Pseudaestuariivita atlantica
Lineage: Bacteria; Pseudomonadati; Pseudomonadota; Alphaproteobacteria; Rhodobacterales; Paracoccaceae
Description: Aestuariivita atlantica Ruegeria cis2 sRNA
Rfam family: Ruegeria cis2 sRNA
About the family: Cis-encoded.
Source: Rfam by way of RNAcentral
GGAGGAAUUCCGCGGGUUGUAGUUGAUGAAGGCAAAGCCGCGCGACUGGUCGAUGGCGUGGAACAGCGGGUUCCAGUCGAACAUCGCCAGCAUGAAGGGCGGCAGGGUGUUGGCCACGAACAUCUUGCCCGACGCGAUCAUGUUGGCGCGCUG